Molecule: ribosomal RNA, 493 nt
Filed under: uncultured Alcaligenaceae bacterium
Lineage: Bacteria; Pseudomonadati; Pseudomonadota; Betaproteobacteria; Burkholderiales; Alcaligenaceae
Description: bacterial SSU rRNA
Rfam family: Bacterial small subunit ribosomal RNA
Source: RNAcentral
CCUGCGGGAUGCCUUCCAUGCAAGUCGAACGGCAGCGCGGACUUCGGUCUGGCGGCGAGUGGCGAACGGGUGAGUAAUGUAUCGGAACGUGCCCAGUAGCGGGGGAUAACUACUCGAAAGAGUAGCUAAUACCGCAUACGCCCUACGGGGGAAAGGGGGGGAUCGCAAGACCUCUCACUAUUGGAGCGGCCGAUAUCGGAUUAGCUAGUUGGUGAGGUAAAGGCUCACCAAGGCGACGAUCCGUAGCUGGUUUGAGAGGACGACCAGCCACACUGGGACUGAGACACGGCCCAGACUCCUACGGGAGGCAGCAGUGGGGAAUUUUGGACAAUGGGGGAAACCCUGAUCCAGCCAUUCCGCGUGUGCGAUGAAGGCCUUCGGGUUGUAAAGCACUUUUGGCAGGAAAGAAAUCGCAUGGAUUAAUACUCUGUGUGGAUGACGGUACCUGCAGAAUAAGCACCGGCUAACUACGUGCCAGCAGCCCGCGGUAAUA